This 802-nucleotide ribosomal RNA is filed under the name Staphylococcus aureus. RNAcentral describes it as "partial 23S ribosomal RNA". It matches the Rfam family "Bacterial large subunit ribosomal RNA", at positions 513 to 1323 of the family's 2925-position model. The record is from RNAcentral. Lineage: Bacteria; Bacillati; Bacillota; Bacilli; Caryophanales; Staphylococcaceae.
GGUGAAAAGCACCCCGGAAGGGGAGUGAAAUAGAACCUGAAACCGUGUGCUUACAAGUAGUCAGAGCCCGUUAAUGGGUGAUGGCGUGCCUUUUGUAGAAUGAACCGGCGAGUUACGAUUUGAUGCAAGGUUAAGCAGUAAAUGUGGAGCCGUAGCGAAAGCGAGUCUGAAUAGGGCGUUUAGUAUUUGGUCGUAGACCCGAAACCAGGUGAUCUACCCUUGGUCAGGUUGAAGUUCAGGUAACACUGAAUGGAGGACCGAACCGACUUACGUUGAAAAGUGAGCGGAUGAACUGAGGGUAGCGGAGAAAUUCCAAUCGAACCUGGAGAUAGCUGGUUCUCUCCGAAAUAGCUUUAGGGCUAGCCUCAAGUGAUGAUUAUUGGAGGUAGAGCACUGUUUGGACGAGGGGCCCCUCUCGGGUUACCGAAUUCAGACAAACUCCGAAUGCCAAUUAAUUUAACUUGGGAGUCAGAACAUGGGUGAUAAGGUCCGUGUUCGAAAGGGAAACAGCCCAGACCACCAGCUAAGGUCCCAAAAUAUAUGUUAAGUGGAAAAGGAUGUGGCGUUGCCCAGACAACUAGGAUGUUGGCUUAGAAGCAGCCAUCAUUUAAAGAGUGCGUAAUAGCUCACUAGUCGAGUGACACUGCGCCGAAAAUGUACCGGGGCUAAACAUAUUACCGAAGCUGUGGAUUGUCCUUUGGACAAUGGUAGGAGAGCGUUCUAAGGGCGUUGAAGCAUGAUCGUAAGGACAUGUGGAGCGCUUAGAAGUGAGAAUGCCGGUGUGAGUAGCGAAAGACGGGUG